This 515-nucleotide ribosomal RNA is filed under the name Escherichia coli. RNAcentral describes it as "partial 16S ribosomal RNA". It matches the Rfam family "Bacterial small subunit ribosomal RNA", at positions 907 to 1422 of the family's 1533-position model. The record is from RNAcentral. Lineage: Bacteria; Pseudomonadati; Pseudomonadota; Gammaproteobacteria; Enterobacterales; Enterobacteriaceae. RNAcentral also lists the same sequence under 1 other name.
GAAUUGACGGGGGCCCGCACAAGCGGUGGAGCAUGUGGUUUAAUUCGAUGCAACGCGAAGAACCUUACCUGGUCUUGACAUCCACGGAAGUUUUCAGAGAUGAGAAUGUGCCUUCGGGAACCGUGAGACAGGUGCUGCAUGGCUGUCGUCAGCUCGUGUUGUGAAAUGUUGGGUUAAGUCCCGCAACGAGCGCAACCCUUAUCCUUUGUUGCCAGCGGUCCGGCCGGGAACUCAAAGGAGACUGCCAGUGAUAAACUGGAGGAAGGUGGGGAUGACGUCAAGUCAUCAUGGCCCUUACGACCAGGGCUACACACGUGCUACAAUGGCGCAUACAAAGAGAAGCGACCUCGCGAGAGCAAGCGGACCUCAUAAAGUGCGUCGUAGUCCGGAUUGGAGUCUGCAACUCGACUCCAUGAAGUCGGAAUCGCUAGUAAUCGUGGAUCAGAAUGCCACGGUGAAUACGUUCCCGGGCCUUGUACACACCGCCCGUCACACCAUGGGAGUGGGUUGCAAAA